Molecule: long non-coding RNA, 3540 nt
Organism: Manis pentadactyla (Chinese pangolin)
Lineage: Eukaryota; Metazoa; Chordata; Mammalia; Pholidota; Manidae
Exons: 2
Source: RefSeq, a predicted model, not a curated record
AAACAAAUGCUAUUGCCACCAGGAAACAGACCACAUGAAAAGAAACGUCGGGAACCUGGAAGAGCUGCCCAGGCAAUAAUUCUCUUCAGUUUCCAAGUUCAUUACCCUCAUUAACUCAAGUCAAUGGGACAGAACAAAAGGCUUCUGAAAAGCCCCAUAAACAUAAGGCAUGCAUAUUUUAAAUCUGUGACUAUAAAAAAAUAACGAAGCUGAAUUUUCUUCUGGCUCACGGUGCAUCCCAGCUGUGCUCUUAGGAUUAUCGGUAUGCCUUGUAAUGCAGUCCUUGAGUCCUGUCACAAAGUACUGUUUAUUCUGAACUCGUGGAUGGUUUUGGGGGUGGAAAGGGGGUAGCCAUAACCAAAAAUUUCCCAGUGUAGACUGUAGGAGGUAGCAGGGGUCACAGAUAACUUCAUGAGAAACAUCAGUGUCUGAUGGUGGGAGAGCAAGUCCUGCGAAGGCGCCAGGCCCCCAACCCGUGUGCAAAUCCAUAUGAGGAAAGAAGUGAGGAUGCUGUUAUUGGAAUGAUCACACGUCAUUUCAGUGCAUCUCCCAGAAUGCAACACAGAAAAAGAAAAAACAUUGUGUUUGUAGUUCUAGGUCUGGGGAAAGGUACUGGUAAGAAUCAACACUUCUAUUAAGUCAAAUUUUUAUUUGUCAUUACUUAGGCCUUUUAAACAAACUCAUGCGUUUCUCCAAACAGGCAUCGUUCAUUAAAGUGACAGACAGAAAGGGAUGGUUGCUCUCGGGAUGAGCAGCGAGCAGCCUGCAGCUCCCCGCAGGGGCGGAGGAGCGGCCGCCGGGCGCGCGGGAAGGAGGCGGCGGUCCCCAGUCACGUAGUGGGUGAGCGUCACGGCUGAAGAGAUUUACGGUCUGUCACGGUUUUCUGUAAAUGAAAAUUGCUGCUCCUCGCCGCCCAAUUUAGUUUUAUCUGAGUUAAUCCAGGAAAGUCUUAUUCGUUUGAACUAUAACUCAACAUAUGAGUCAGUGAGUGUUACCCAGGGACGUAAAGGAGCUGUUUGUUACCGUUUCAGGACAGCCGCCUCCAGGGUGUGCUGAAGUCGGUCGGACUGUUUUGAGCCUCUCCGGGGCAAAUGGAAAUGAAGCUUUUUAUGAAGUCUCCCUCUUUUUACACUGGAAAAUUGGCUGCAAUGUGGCUCAGAAGUGAGUCGGAAAGUCUGUCAGGCUGACAACAUGACCCUGCCGAAGAUGAGGGACAUUUACAAGUUUGGUUAUUAAAAAAAUGACAGAGCCGUAGCUGUGUUUACUCGGCUCCACACUGGAAUUCUGACCAUCUAACAGGUACGAGCUCAUCACAGAGGGUUCUCACUGGUCCUUCCAGCCAGAAGUACUGCUCUGGUGGGAAGGCCUGGAGUGCAAGAAGUCGGUGUCCUGGGGAGCAGGUGGAUUUAAAUUCCAUCAUGAUUUGGUUUCCCUAUUCUCCCCUUAACACUUUACUUCCAAAGCAAAUGUUCACCAGCAUUGUCACUUCCAGAAAGAUCCAGUGUCCAAAAGUGAUGGUGUUCAUGGAGUGUAGAGCCAGCUGACACAGUAGGGUGGAUCUGACCAAUACAGGUCACAGAACGAUGGAGACAGAGAAAGGAUGCCAUCAAAGCUGGCAAGAGUAUAGCAUGGACAGAGGGAACACGGAACACCCUCUCCUCACUUAGAAUUGGUUUCUUGGAGCAAGGACAUCCGGACAAAUAAGGGUGCUCACUCAGCUCAAGACCACCUCACUCCUCCACAGUGAGCCAAGCACUAUUCUGAGUCCUGGGGAUAUGCUGGUGAACAAGAUCUGCUCUCUAAGUUCAAGGCGUUCCCCGUCUACCCAGGUAGAUGCUCAGGUAAAUCGAGACCUGCUUCACAAGGCUGAAUAUCUGAGCCAGGGAUGGGGCCUGAAGAGAUGCCCCGGGGGGAAUCUGAGCAGAACUUGGAGAUGAGCUCCAGCGUGCCCCACCCCACAGAGGGGAGAGGAGCCUCCUAUAAAGGUCAAAAAACACGAUUAUGGACCUUGGGGAAAAGGGGCUUCUCACACCGUGUGUGGUGGUGCCACCAUUUCAGAUGUGUACACUUUACAAGAUGGCAAGAGUGUCCGUAAUGCCACUUUCUGUCCGGAGAGCAAAUCUACCAGUGCAGCUCUCAGGACUCCACGGCAGACUCAAGGCUCCCCAAGGAGAGCAGCCCUGGCAUUUUAGGAGGGACCUUAGGACAGCCCCGCACGCCGAGGGGUGGCAUGCUCUGCCAAGCCCCCCACUCCUGCUUUAUUCACAAAGUGAUCAGAAACUGUCAGCCGUGGAGGAAAGCGAGUUCUCCUCGCUGUCCUCAUGACUUGACGUGUGGUAGCAUCUGUCCUCCCUCUAGCUCCUUUUCGGAUCUGACAUGAGCACUGUGAGGAGGCCAACGGCAGGUUCCCGGUACCUACUUAUGGCUGAGCCCCGAGGAGAGCUCUUCACCAACCAAGAGCUGCACCUGCCCGCCCACACUGAUGAGGGUGCCAGGAAGGGCUGUGCUCACUGAUUAUUGAUUGCUAGGUUGGUGACAGCCCAGAACGAGGUCUCUAGGGACAUAAUUCAAGGCUCAGACAUCUAAGGUCCCUUUAGCUCCUCUGAAUAUAUUAUAUAUUCAAUGUAUUACACGUAUGAUCUUCAAAGUGUCUGAUGUUAGGACAGUCUAGGCUGAGGUCACACCUAACCCGCACAUCUCAGGAGUCAAAUGCAACAAUGAGAAAACAGUCCAGUGAAGUUCGGGUGGCUUUCCUUCAACAGUGACUCAGGAAUCCGACUGCCCUCACCUCGCCUCUCUGCCAUCUACAAGUUCUUUGCCAACAGCCAUGAAGGAGGGAACAAGAGCGUGGGUGCCUCACACCUGCUCUUAAUUGCUUUGCCCUGAGAGCCACCAGUCCCUUCCAUUUGCAUCCCCAUUGGCAAGAACUUGGUCCCAUGAUCCCACCCUAAGCCAGACGAUGCUGAGGAAUGUUGUCUUCCUGGGUGCCCAGUAAGAAGAAAUGGUGUGGUGAAUAGAAAACACCCUAGGCCCAGUGUAUGUAGAGAACAGUUGUCCUGUGCUUUUAUUUUUACUGUUAUUUUAAUUUAUUUUUAUUUUAUUGUUAUUGUAUUUAAUUGUACUGUGACCUACUGGGAGACAUAUAAAGCUUGGUAAAAUCAACUCGCUUUUGACUGUGUAAGACAAAUAACCCUGCUCGCGAUGAAGCCAGGAUCCUUCGUGAAUGAAAAAUUUCCACUGCCAGGUCUCUGCUUACACAAUUGCUUAUUUCUAAGUCUGACCCAAAGCAGGAGGCUUGGUCUCACAGAGGUAUAAACUAAAGACUCAAAACUGUUUCAGAGGCCAGCGUGCCCCACAUGGGGGUGGUGUGAUUUGCACAUCUGCGCGUGUGACCGUCUCGAUGGCUGAAGGGUGGGGGUGCACGCUGCCAAGGAGGUCACCAGCACCGCAAAACAGCAAAACGUUUGCAGUAGAUCACUGCCCUAUAAUAGUUGGAGAUUGUAAAAGCAAAAAAAAAAAUUAAACUCUAAAAAAUUUUAA